Molecule: small nuclear RNA, 346 nt
Filed under: Oryctolagus cuniculus (rabbit)
Lineage: Eukaryota; Metazoa; Chordata; Mammalia; Lagomorpha; Leporidae
Description: 7SK RNA
Rfam family: 7SK RNA
About the family: 7SK was discovered as an abundant small nuclear RNA in the mid-70s but a possible function has only recently been suggested. Two independent studies have found that 7SK RNA binds the CDK9/cyclin T complex (known as elongation factor P-TEFb).
Source: Rfam by way of RNAcentral
GGUUGUUGAGGGCCAUCUGGCUGUGACAUCUGUCACCCCAUUGAUCACCAGGGCUGAUUCGGCUGAUCUGGUUGGCUAGGCAGGUGUCCCCUUCCUCCCUCACUGCUCCAUGUGUGUCCCUCUCUAAGCAGCAUGCUCGGUCGAAGAGGAUAAACUUGCCCACCAGAGGAGGACUGGUCUUCGGUCAAGGGUGUACGAGUGGCUGUGCUCCCCUGCUAGGACCUCCAAACAAGCUCUCAAGACUCAUUUAUUAGAUUCAAAUAAACAUCUUCGGAAGACAACAGUAGGGUGGAGUUCCACGAUUCUGACCUGAAACCAUAUGCCAAACCUGGUUCACUCGCUGUGU